GUCUCGAUGGCGAAGUGCUUACGAACGCUCGUCUGGUGAGCGGGAGGUCUUGGGUUCGAAUCCCAGCCGAGGCA
Molecule: transfer RNA, 74 nt
Filed under: Diaphorina citri (Asian citrus psyllid)
Lineage: Eukaryota; Metazoa; Arthropoda; Insecta; Hemiptera; Psyllidae
Rfam family: tRNA
About the family: Transfer RNA (tRNA) molecules are approximately 80 nucleotides in length. Their secondary structure includes four short double-helical elements and three loops (D, anti-codon, and T loops).
Source: Rfam by way of RNAcentral